Oncorhynchus keta (chum salmon) is the source of this 1194-nucleotide long non-coding RNA. RefSeq lists it as uncharacterized. The transcript is spliced from 4 exons. NCBI's taxonomy places the organism in Eukaryota, Metazoa, Chordata, Actinopteri, Salmoniformes, Salmonidae. The record is from RefSeq and is a predicted model, not a curated record.
GAGGCAGGUAGCCUAGUGGUUAGAGGAGGCAGGUAGCCUGGUGGUUAGAGGAGGCAGGUAGCCUAGUGGUUAGAGGAGGCAGGUAGCCUAGUGGUUAGAGGAGGCAGGUAGCCUGGUGGUUAGAGGAGGCAGGUAGCCUAGUGGUUAGAGGAGGCAGGUAGCCUAGUGGUUAGAGGAGGCAGGUAGCCUAGUGGUUAGAGGAGGCAGGUAGCCUAGUGGUUAGAGGAGGCAGGUAGCCUAGUGGUUAGAGGAGGCAGGUAGCCUAGUGGUUAGAGGAGGCAGGUAGCCUAGUGGUUAGAGGAGGCAGGUAGCCUAGUGGUUAGAGGAGGCAGGUAGCCUAGUGGUUAGAGGAGGCAGGUAGCCUAGUGGUUAGAGGAGGCAGGUAGCCUAGUGGUUAGAGGAGGGAGGUAGCCUAGUGGUUAGAGGAGGGAGGUAGCCUAGUGGUUAGAGGAGGCAGGUAGCCUAGUGGUUAGAGGAGGGAGGUAGCCUAGUGGUUAGAGGAGGGAGGUAGCCUAGUGCUUAGAGCAUUGGACUAGUAACCGAAAGGUUGCAAAUCUGAAAGGUACAAAAGGUACAAAUCUGUCAUUCUGCCCCUAAACAAGGCAGUUAACCCACUGUUCCUAGGCCAUCACUGACUUGCCUAGUUAAAUAAAGGUAAAUAGGCAAGGGGAGAUCUUUUUUGUGCCCGGUAAAAUAAAUUAUGCAAGAAAUGCUAGUGGAACAAAUAUUGAUAAAGGCUAAUAACCAUCAUAUGGAACUCAACAUGGAGUCACGCUGUGACGUGGUGUCUGGUCCUCCCGCUACGACUCAGGAUAACAUGCAGUUUAAUUAGGCUACAGAUUAAAUAAACGAUGAUGGACUUCACAGGAUGGUGAAAGUGAAAAUGUGAUGAGUUUGAUGCUCCUUUCCAAUAAAUAUCGAGGGUCUUAUUCCGGUGACAUGAUGAUCGAUGCUUGUCUGCAGUUUGAUACAUUUUGUCAUAAUAAUCUUAUAAUUAUCUAGGUUCCCAUCCAAUUGGCGACACAUUUUCAUAAGAAUAUUCUAGAAUCCGGAUAGAGAAAAUACGCGCAUUUUCCCCACGGUCGCAACUUCCACCAAACUGACUCCUUGCAGAUAAAAAAGUAGUGCGUGAUGACGUAAAGCAUACAACAAUUUUACUUUUUCUCUGUCACGUUUAGUCCCGCUCUCCCCUUC